RNAcentral lists this ribosomal RNA (330 nucleotides) under Triticum aestivum (bread wheat). RNAcentral describes it as "partial small subunit ribosomal RNA". Lineage: Eukaryota; Viridiplantae; Streptophyta; Magnoliopsida; Poales; Poaceae. The record is from RNAcentral.
AUGUGGCUGUCCAUGGUAAGCAUGGUCCUGGCAUUCUACGCGGCUCUGGCCGCCAUCACGAGCACGAAGGUAGUCCGCAGCAUUGCCUACAACGCCAUACGCAAUGCCCUUUUCGCGUUGUUAGCCAUGGUGUCGCACCUGGUCAGCCCUCGGGUGUCGUCCCGCACGUUGUCCAAGUACCUGUGGCAAUGUGGCUCUAGAGGGCGUCGCAGUGUCGUCGAACAGCAAUAUCCACUCGUCGGUGCUUUCGUGCGCAACCUGAUUCUGUUCAGGGUUGCAAAUUAUGUUGCAGUGCUUGUGGACGUUACCACGGUCUUAGCACUUAGGUGA